GACGAACGCUGGCGGCGUGCCUAAUACAUGCAAGUAGAACGCUGAAGGAGGAGCUUGCUUCUCUGGAUGAGUUGCGAACGGGUGAGUAACGCGUAGGUAACCUGCCUGGUAGCGGGGGAUAACUAUUGGAAACGAUAGCUAAUACCGCAUAAUAGUAGAUGUUGCAUGACAUUUGCCUAAAAGGUGCAAUUGCAUCACUACCAGAUGGACCUGCGUUGUAUUAGCUAGUUGGUGGGGUAACGGCUCACCAAGGCGACGAUACAUAGCCGACCUGAGAGGGUGAUCGGCCACACUGGGACUGAGACACGGCCCAGACUCCUACGGGAGGCAGCAGUAGGAAAUCUUCGGCAAUGGACGGAAGUCUGACCGAGCAACGCCGCGUGAGUGAAGAAGGUUUUCGGAUCGUAAAGCUCUGUUGUAAGAGAAGAACGAGUGUGAGAGUGGAAAGUUCACACUGUGACGGUAUCUUACCAGAAAGGGACGGCUAACUACGUG
This 495-nucleotide ribosomal RNA is filed under the name uncultured bacterium. Its description in RNAcentral is "partial 16S ribosomal RNA". It matches the Rfam family "Bacterial small subunit ribosomal RNA", at positions 28 to 507 of the family's 1533-position model. The record is from RNAcentral.